UACGUAGGGUGCGAGCGUUGCCCGGAUUUAUUGGGCGUAAAGGGCGCGUAGGCGGCUCGGCACGUCCGUUGUGAAAUCGCCCGGCUCAACUGGGCGGGGUCAGCGGAUACGGUCGAGCUUGAGCAAGCUAGGGGGCAAUGGAAUUCCCGGUGUAGUGGUGGAAUGCGUAGAUAUCGGGAGGAACACCAGUGGCGAAGGCGGUUGUCUGGAGCUUUGCUGACGCUGAUGCGCGAAAGCGUGGGGAGCGAUCCGG
RNAcentral lists this ribosomal RNA (253 nucleotides) under uncultured bacterium. RNAcentral describes it as "partial 16S ribosomal RNA". It matches the Rfam family "Bacterial small subunit ribosomal RNA", at positions 524 to 776 of the family's 1533-position model. The record is from RNAcentral.